GAACUGAAGAGUUUGAUCAUGGCUCAGAUUGAACGCUGGCGGCAGGCCUAACACAUGCAAGUCGAGCGGAUGAAGGGAGCUUGCUCCUGGAUUCAGCGGCGGACGGGUGAGUAAUGCCUAGGAAUCUGCCUGGUAGUGGGGGAUAACGUCCGGAAACGGGCGCUAAUACCGCAUACGUCCUGAGGGAGAAAGUGGGGGAUCUUCGGACCUCACGCUAUCAGAUGAGCCUAGGUCGGAUUAGCUAGUUGGUGGGGUAAAGGCCUACCAAGGCGACGAUCCGUAACUGGUCUGAGAGGAUGAUCAGUCACACUGGAACUGAGACACGGUCCAGACUCCUACGGGAGGCAGCAGUGGGGAAUAUUGGACAAUGGGCGAAAGCCUGAUCCAGCCAUGCCGCGUGUGUGAAGAAGGUCUUCGGAUUGUAAAGCACUUUAAGUUGGGAGGAAGGGCAGUAAGUUAAUACCUUGCUGUUUUGACGUUACCAACAGAAUAAGCACCGGCUAACUUCGUGCCAGCAGCCGCGGUAAUACGAAGGGUGCAAGCGUUAAUCGGAAUUACUGGGCGUAAAGCGCGCGUAGGUGGUUCAGCAAGUUGGAUGUGAAAUCCCCGGGCUCAACCUGGGAACUGCAUCCAAAACUACUGAGCUAGAGUACGGUAGAGGGUGGUGGAAUUUCCUGUGUAGCGGUGAAAUGCGUAGAUAUAGGAAGGAACACCAGUGGCGAAGGCGACCACCUGGACUGAUACUGACACUGAGGUGCGAAAGCGUGGGGGAGCAAACAGGAUUAGAUACCCUGGUAGUCCACGCCGUAAACGAUGUCGACUAGCCGUUGGGAUCCUUGAGAUCUUAGUGGCGCAGCUAACGCGAUAAGUCGACCGCCUGGGGAGUACGGCCGCAAGGUUAAAACUCAAAUGAAUUGACGGGGGCCCGCACAAGCGGUGGAGCAUGUGGUUUAAUUCGAAGCAACGCGAAGAACCUUACCUGGCCUUGACAUGCUGAGAACUUUCCAGAGAUGGAUUGGUGCCUUCGGGAACUCAGACACAGGUGCUGCAUGGCUGUCGUCAGCUCGUGUCGUGAGAUGUUGGGUUAAGUCCCGUAACGAGCGCAACCCUUGUCCUUAGUUACCAGCACCUCGGGUGGGCACUCUAAGGAGACUGCCGGUGACAAACCGGAGGAAGGUGGGGAUGACGUCAAGUCAUCAUGGCCCUUACGGCCAGGGCUACACACGUGCUACAAUGGUCGGUACAAAGGGUUGCCAAGCCGCGAGGUGGAGCUAAUCCCAUAAAACCGAUCGUAGUCCGGAUCGCAGUCUGCAACUCGACUGCGUGAAGUCGGAAUCGCUAGUAAUCGUGAAUCAGAAUGUCACGGUGAAUACGUUCCCGGGCCUUGUACACACCGCCCGUCACACCAUGGGAGUGGGUUGCUCCAGAAGUAGCUAGUCUAACCGCAAGGGGGACGGUUACCACGGAGUGAUUCAUGACUGGGGUGAAGUCGUAACAAGGUAGCCGUAGGGGAACCUGCGGCUGGAUCACCUCCUUA
Molecule: ribosomal RNA, 1537 nt
Filed under: Pseudomonas aeruginosa
Lineage: Bacteria; Pseudomonadati; Pseudomonadota; Gammaproteobacteria; Pseudomonadales; Pseudomonadaceae
Description: 16S ribosomal RNA
Rfam family: Bacterial small subunit ribosomal RNA
Source: RNAcentral